Molecule: transfer RNA, 74 nt
Filed under: Streptomyces spectabilis
Lineage: Bacteria; Bacillati; Actinomycetota; Actinomycetes; Kitasatosporales; Streptomycetaceae
Description: tRNA-Ala
Source: RNAcentral
UCGACGUGUGGACCACGGGCAGGUGCAUGCCGGUGGCGUCGGCGAGCGAGGUGAUCGUGCCGCUCGGGUCGACC